Molecule: ribosomal RNA, 440 nt
Filed under: uncultured bacterium
Lineage: Bacteria
Description: partial 16S ribosomal RNA
Rfam family: Bacterial small subunit ribosomal RNA
Source: RNAcentral
CCUACGGGAGGCAGCAGUGGGGAAUAUUGCACAAUGGGGGAAACCCUGAUGCAGCGACGCCGCGUGAGUGAAGAAGUAAUUCGUUAUGUAAAGCUCUAUCAGCAGGGAAGAAAAUGACGGUACCUGAGUAAGAAGCCCCGGCUAACUACGUGCCAGCAGCCGCGGUAAUACGUAGGGGGCAAGCGUUAUCCGGAUUUACUGGGUGUAACGGGAGCGUAGACGGCAGUGCAAGUCUGGAGUGAAAGGCGGGGGCUCAACCCCCGGACUGCUCUGGAAACUGUACGGCUGGAGUGCAGGAGAGGUAAGUGGAAUUCCUAGUGUAGCGGUGAAAUGCGUAGAUAUUAGGAUGAACACCAGUGGCGAAGGCGGCUUACUGGACUGUAACUGACGUUGAGGCUCGAAAGCGUGGGGAGCAAACAGGAUUAGAUACCCCAGUAGUC